AGAGUUUGAUCCUGGCUCAGGAUGAACGCUAGCUACAGGCUAACACAUGCAAGUCGAGGGGAAACGACAUCGAAAGCUUGCUUUGUAUGGCGGUCGACCGGCGCACGGGUGAGUAACGCGUAUCCAACCUCGCCCACCACUUGGGGAUAACCUUGCGAAAGUAAGACUAAUACCCAAUGAUAUCUCUAGAAGACAUCUGAAAGAGAUUAAAGACUUAUCGGUGAUGGAUGGGGAUGCGUCUGAUUAGCUUGUUGGCGGGGUAACGGCCCACCAAGGCAACGAUCAGUAGGGGUUCUGAGAGGAAGGUCCCCCACAUUGGAACUGAGACACGGUCCAAACUCCUACGGGAGGCAGCA
RNAcentral lists this ribosomal RNA (356 nucleotides) under uncultured bacterium. RNAcentral's name for it is "bacterial SSU rRNA". It matches the Rfam family "Bacterial small subunit ribosomal RNA", at positions 8 to 353 of the family's 1533-position model. The record is from RNAcentral.